Sinocyclocheilus grahami is the source of this 110-nucleotide long non-coding RNA. RefSeq lists it as uncharacterized. The transcript is spliced from 3 exons. Lineage: Eukaryota; Metazoa; Chordata; Actinopteri; Cypriniformes; Cyprinidae. The record is from RefSeq and is a predicted model, not a curated record.
AUAAGAAAAAGAAGUUCUUGUUUGUCGGGUCUAUGUGUUGAAUGUCCUCCUCGUUCUCAGUUUUCCUGUGGAUUAUUAAAGACUGUGUUAUUCAAGUACUCCUCGUUUCC